UAGGGAAUCUUCCGCAAUGGACGCAAGUCUGACGGAGCAACGCCGCGCGAGUGAAGAAGGAUUUCGGUUCGUAAAACUCUGUUGUUAGAGAAGAACAGCGCAUAGAGUAACUGUUAUGCGUGUGACGGUAUCUAACCAGAAAGCCACGGCUAACUACGUGCCAGCAGCCGCGGUAAUACGUAGGUGGCAAGCGUUGUCCGGAUUUAUUGGGCGUAAAGCGAGCGCAGGCGGUCAAUUAAGUCUGAUGUGAAAGCCCCCGGCUCAACCGGGGAGGGUCAUUGGAAACUGGUUGACUUGAGUGCAGAAGAGGAGAGUGGAAUUCCAUGUGUAGCGGUGAAAUGCGUAGAUAUAUGGGGGAACACCGGUGGCGAAAGCGGCUCUCUGGUCUGUAACUGACGCUGAGGCUAGAAAGCGUGGGGAGCGAACAGG
RNAcentral lists this ribosomal RNA (429 nucleotides) under Bacteroidota bacterium. RNAcentral describes it as "Bacteroidetes bacterium partial 16S ribosomal RNA". It matches the Rfam family "Bacterial small subunit ribosomal RNA", at positions 355 to 776 of the family's 1533-position model. Lineage: Bacteria; Pseudomonadati; Bacteroidota. The record is from RNAcentral.